RNAcentral lists this long non-coding RNA (765 nucleotides) under Heterocephalus glaber (naked mole-rat). Its description in RNAcentral is "lncRNA (ENSHGLG00000039627.1)". Lineage: Eukaryota; Metazoa; Chordata; Mammalia; Rodentia; Bathyergidae. The record is from RNAcentral.
GCCUGGACUGCACAGUGGGUUCAAGGCCAAUCAGAUCUACAUAGUGAGGCCCUGUCUCACAAAAACAAAAACCUGAACCAAAACAAUGAAGGCCGUUUUCUCCCCUGCAGGUGAGGUCGGGAACCAUCUUUGAUAACUUCCUGCUCACAGAUGAUGAGGAGUAUGCAGAAAAUUUUGGGAAAGCCACCUAGGGCCAAACCAAGGGCCCGGAGAAGGAGAUGGAUGACAUCCUGAUCAAGGAGGAGGUGACCAGAGCCCGCGAGGAGGAGGAGGAGGAGCUGCCGGCGGGCAGGUUCCACGGGGCUCAGGGGCCCUUCCCUGAGUUUCAGAGGCAGAACGAGCUGUAGUUCUCCCUGCUGCGGAGGGCAGAGGUGACUGGUAAAACCUCCCUUCUACUUUAAUCCACAUUUCAAAACUCAGCCUCUGUGUGCUCAUUUGCCCAGUGCCCUUGAAAAAUGUCCCCAGGGGCCUGGCGUGGUGGUGCACGCCUAUGACCUCAGCACUGUGGAGGCUGCGGCAGGAGGAUCGCCUUGAGUUCCGGGCCAGCCUGGGUUACACAGUGAGUUUGAGUUUAAGGCAGCCUGAACUAUACGGGGAGACCCUGUCUCACUGUCCUGCCCCCCCCCCCCGCAAAAGAAAAGAAAAGAAAACCGUCCCCAGGCUCCUUAGUGGGGUGGGUUGCAUGUCUCCCCAAGACACCUACACUGGAAGGUUCCCUCCACGGAUCUGCACAGCAAAGACACAGCGCUGCUUUCUUAAUCUCUG